This 240-nucleotide unclassified non-coding RNA is filed under the name soil metagenome. RNAcentral describes it as "partial contains 5.8S ribosomal RNA, internal transcribed spacer 2, and large subunit ribosomal RNA". The record is from RNAcentral.
AACAUCGCGCACCUGCGGGAACCUGCGGAAGGAUCAUUACACAAUAAACAUAUGAAGGCUGCACCGCCAACAGGCGGCAAGGCUGGAGUAUUUUAUUACCCUUGUCUUUUGCGCACUUGUUGUUUCCUGGGCGGGUUCGCCCGCCUCCAGGACCACAUGAUAAACCUUUUUUAUGCAGUUGCAAUCAGCGUCAGUACAACAAAUGUAAAUCAUUUACAACUUUUAACAACGGAUCUCAGA